Molecule: ribosomal RNA, 204 nt
Filed under: Pseudomonas putida
Lineage: Bacteria; Pseudomonadati; Pseudomonadota; Gammaproteobacteria; Pseudomonadales; Pseudomonadaceae
Description: partial 16S ribosomal RNA
Rfam family: Bacterial small subunit ribosomal RNA
Source: RNAcentral
AGCGCGCGUAGGUGGUUUGUUAAGUUGGAUGUGAAAGCCCCCCCCUCAACCUGGGAACUGCAUUCAAAACUGGCAAGCUAGAGUCCCGUAGAGGGUGGUGGAAUUCCCUGUGUAGCGGUGAAAUGCGUAGAUAUGGGAAGGAACACCAUUGGCAAAGGCGACCCCCUGGACUGAUACUGACUUUGAGGCGCGAAAGCGUGGGGA